AGUUGGAGUCUUCAAGAGUUUUGGGUGGUCUGACACCAAUAUUCUCACCAUGUUGCAAAAGCUACCUUACUGUGUAGCCCUAUCAGAGGCACGAAUUCAGACUGCAUUGACAUUUUUGAUGAAGGAAGUCCGUUUCAAGUCUAUUUACAUAGCUUCUCGCCCUUCGCUUUUAACGUACAGUUUGGAGAAGAGACUAAUGCCCAGGUAUGAAAUCUG
This 216-nucleotide unclassified non-coding RNA is filed under the name Hevea brasiliensis (rubber tree). The record is from RNAcentral. Lineage: Eukaryota; Viridiplantae; Streptophyta; Magnoliopsida; Malpighiales; Euphorbiaceae.